AUGUUUAAAAUAUUUACACAUUCUUCUUAUGCAGGGGCCCGUAAAAUGGCAAGAGUGACCAUUCUUAAAAUAGUUGGAGCAGGACUAGGUGGUGCUGUACUCAUGGCAUGUCUCGGCUGUUUUGUCUGGUACAAAUGCAAGAAGAGGAAACAAACUGUAGCUUCGAACGAGUUCAUGCGAAGUGGAUCUUCAAUGACGUCAUACAGUAAAGACCUUGAGUUGGAUGGUUCUCCUCAUAUCUUCACUUUCGAGGAACUUGAGGUAGCUACUGAUGGGUUUAGUGCUUCAAGGGAGCUUGGUGAUGGUGGUUUUGGAACUGUCUACAAAGGAAAACUCAAGGAUGGGAGAGUAGUUGCGGUGAAACGCCUUUACAAGAACAAUUACAGACGGGUUGAGCAAUUCCUGAAUGAGGUUGACAUCCUGUCCCGCCUGCUCCACCAGAACCUUGUCAUCCUAUAUGGCUGCACGUCGCGCAUGAGCCGUGAUCUUCUCCUGGUGUACGAGUUCAUCGCAAAUGGGACGGUCGCAGACCAUCUUCACGGAUCCCGUGUGGCGGAACGAGGCCUCACUUGGCCUCUGAGGCUGAACAUUGCCAUAGAGACGGCUGAAGCACUGGCCUACCUCCAUGCGGUCGAGAUCAUACACCGAGAUGUGAAGACAACCAACAUAUUGCUCGACAACAGCUUCCAUGUCAAAGUUGCAGACUUUGGGUUAUCACGCCUGUUCCCACUUGAGGUCACCCAUGUGUCAACUGUUCCACAGGGCACACCGGGCUACGUCGACCCGGUGUACCACCAGUGCUACAAGCUGACCGACAAGAGUGACGUUUACAGCUUCGGUGUUGUGUUGGUGGAGUUGAUAUCAUCGAAACCUGCUGUGGACAUGAGCAGGAGCCACAGUGAGAUCAACUUGGCAAACAUGGCUCUCAACAGGAUUCAGAACCAUCAAGUUGUUCAGCUGGUUGAUCCGGAGCUCGGCUACAAUACCGACCCCGAAACGAAGAGGACGAUCGAUCGCGUCGCGGAGGUGGCCUUCCAGUGCUUGCAACUGGAGAGGGAUCUAAGGCCGUCCAUCAAGGAGGUGGUGGAGAUCCUGACUUGCGUCAGGGACGGAGACGGUGGGGAUAAUAGCAUGAAUAAGAAGGCAUCUCAGAAAGAAGACGUGUGCUUGCUCAAGGAUGGCCUGCAGUUCUCGCCCGACACUGUUAUACAUAGAUUCCAUAGCCAGUCAACUAACCACUCGGUAGCAUCGAAUGCUAGCAGAUUAUCUAACAUCAAAUGCUAA
RNAcentral lists this ribosomal RNA (1284 nucleotides) under Triticum aestivum (bread wheat). Its description in RNAcentral is "partial small subunit ribosomal RNA". The record is from RNAcentral. Lineage: Eukaryota; Viridiplantae; Streptophyta; Magnoliopsida; Poales; Poaceae.